UAAGGAGAUGAUGGAGUCCAGCAUCAGUAGAACAAGUCUUUCUCUCAUCCACCAGUCAUACAAGGAUAAUGGUCAAAUGCCUACCAUCAAAAAGAGAGCUGGCCCAAGCAAGCCAGGUUACACCUGAAGCAUGAGGACUUGCAGCAAAUGGUGAACUUCAUCAAUAACUACGCAGAGGAUAACGCAAUAGUAUUACCAGGACGCCAUCCCAGGACACAAACACUUUGGUGGAGAGCUGCUGCAAUCCCAUGUGACAAAAGCAGCAGUGUGGCGUCUCUACAAGAAUCGAUGACAACACUUGGAAUUUUCCAAGAUGAUGUUUCUGUAUGCAGUGCUGAUGCUCUGCACAUUUGUAGGUGCACUAUCCUUCUGACCCUAUGCAGCCAGGUCCCAUCUACUUUUUAACUCCUCGCAAGUGUGGCUUGUUUGGUGUCUGCUGUGAAGCAACUACUUAAUUGAUGAAGGCAUGUCAUCCAGCAAAGGCAGAAGCUCGGUCAUCAACUACAUGCACCAUUUCUUCACCAACUAUGGAGUUGGGGAAACACAUGUGGACCUUAAUUGUGAUAACUGCAGUGGCCAAAACAAGAACAAGUUUGUGCUCUGGUAUUGUGCCUGGUGGACCAUGCUUAAGCUCCACUACAGUCUGGACCUUCACUUACCUGAUCACAGGCCACACCAAGUUUGGCCCCGACUGGUGCUUCGGCCUCAUCAAGCAGCACUUCAGAAAGACCAGAGUGAACACUUGGUCUGAGAUUGCUGGUGUUGUGAAGGACAGCACUGUGACAGGGGUCAACAUCCCACAGCUGGUUGGACUGGAGGAUGGUACAGUGCUGGUGGAAAACUAUGGCUGGCAACAACACCUGACUUCGUACUUCAGGCCGCUGCCACUGUUCAAGCAGUACCAGCACAUCAGCUUCAAUGCUCUGGCGCCUGGUGUUGUUGUCGCCAAGGAGCGUUCUGACUCAUAACAUAACAGCCUAACUGCCUCUGCUAGGAUGAGUAAAAU
Long non-coding RNA from Oncorhynchus tshawytscha (Chinook salmon), 1006 nucleotides. Lineage: Eukaryota; Metazoa; Chordata; Actinopteri; Salmoniformes; Salmonidae. The record is from Ensembl.